GAUGAACGCUAGCGGGAGGCUUAACACAUGCAAGUCGGGGGGCAGCAUGGGGUAGCAAUACUCUGAUGGCGACCGGCAAACGGGUGAGUAACGCGUAUGUAACCUACCCUGUACAGGGGGAUAACCCGGAGAAAUUCGGACUAAUAUCCCAUAACAAUAUCCGGGGGCAUCUUUGGUAUAUUUAAAGUUCCGGCGGUACGGGAUGGGCAUGCGUAACAUUAGCUAGUUGGUAAGGUAACGGCUUACCAAGGCUUUGAUGUUUAGGGGUCCUGAGAGGGUGGUCCCCCACACUGGUACUGAGACACGGACCAGACUCCUACGGGAGGCAGCAGUGAGGAAUAUUGGUCAAUGGGCGCAAGCCUGAACCAGCCAUCCCGCGUGCAGGAAGACGGCGCUAUGCGUUGUAAACUGCUUUUCCAGGGAGAGAAACUUGCGCACGUGUUGCGCAAUUGACGGUACCCUGGGAAUAAGCAUCGGCUAACUCCGUG
RNAcentral lists this ribosomal RNA (488 nucleotides) under uncultured bacterium. Its description in RNAcentral is "bacterial SSU rRNA". It matches the Rfam family "Bacterial small subunit ribosomal RNA", at positions 28 to 507 of the family's 1533-position model. The record is from RNAcentral.